GGGCGUAAAGCGCGCGCAGGUGGUUUCUUAAGUCUGAUGUGAAAGCCCACGGCUCAACCGUGGAGGGUCAUUGGAAACUGGGAGACUUGAGUGCAGAAGAGGAAAGUGGAAUUCCAUGUGUAGCGGUGAAAUGCGUAGAGAUAUGGAGGAACACCAGUGGCGAAGGCGACUUUCUGGUCUGUAACUGACACUGAGGCGCGAAAGCGUGGGGAGCAAACAGGAUUAGAUACCCUGGUAGUCCACGCCGUAAACGAUGAGUGCUAAGUGUUAGAGGGUUUCCGCCCUUUAGUGCUGAAGUUAACGCAUUAAGCACUCCGCCUGGGGAGUACGGCCGCAAGGCUGAAACUCAAAGGAAUUGACGGGGGCCCGCACAAGCGGUGGAGCAUGUGGUUUAAUUCAAAACAACGCGAA
This 411-nucleotide ribosomal RNA is filed under the name Bacillus cereus. RNAcentral's name for it is "bacterial SSU rRNA". It matches the Rfam family "Bacterial small subunit ribosomal RNA", at positions 556 to 965 of the family's 1533-position model. Lineage: Bacteria; Bacillati; Bacillota; Bacilli; Caryophanales; Bacillaceae. The record is from RNAcentral.